This 506-nucleotide unclassified non-coding RNA is filed under the name Bombus terrestris (buff-tailed bumblebee). RNAcentral describes it as "misc RNA ENSBTSG00005037997.1". Lineage: Eukaryota; Metazoa; Arthropoda; Insecta; Hymenoptera; Apidae. The record is from RNAcentral.
UGAAUAUUAAAAGAACGUCUACUUUUUCAUGGUUCCAAAAGGAAAUUUUUAUUAAGCCAUCGUAAAAAACCAUUUCUAUGCAUGUAAAGUAUCACUUAAUUAAAUUCGAAAAAAUAUGUGGGAUAAAAUCACUUUGGAAUAUAUCAUGGUCUCCCGGUGUUCCUAAAGACUCAUAAAUUGAAAAAAAAAUGGCGGACAUUAUAUCCAUUGGAAUACUAUAAAAAGACAUAAAACGUAUUGUCAAUAUUUCUCGAAGUUUUACCAGGGGAUUCAAUAUCCGUACCGUGAACCGUAGUAAAGAUAGGCUACGUACAAACUACUGUCGCGUCGAGUGCGAUAAAACCACAGCCGUCAUACCGAAAGUUAUGGAUUUGAACCAGCGGCGAAGUUCUACUAACUCGACAUCGUGUAAAUUAAUCGCGGGAAACUUCGAGCGGCUGCACUGAAAAGUUACCAUACAGAAUUUAAAAUAAAUGUUGAUUCAUUUUUCCCUCGUUCCUUGUUAG